AACGAACGCUGGCGGCAGGCUUAACACAUGCAAGUCGAACGCCCCGCAAGGGGAGUGGCAGACGGGUGAGUAACACGUGGGAACCUUCCUCGUUGUACGGAACAACUCAGGGAAACUUGAGCUAAUACCGUAUACGUCCGAGAGGAGAAAGAUUUAUCGCAAUGAGACAGGGUCCGCGUCGGACUAGCUAGUUGGUGGGGUAACGGCCUACCAAGGCAACGAUCCGUAGCUGAUCUGAGAGGAUGAUCAGCCACACUGGGACUGAGACACGGCCCAGACUCCUACGGGAGGAAGCAGUGGGGAAUCUUGGACAAUGGGCGCAAGCCUGAUCCAGCCAUGCCGCGUGAGUGAAGAAGGCCUUCGGGUUGUAAAGCUCUUUUGUCAGGGACGAUAAUGACGGUACCUGAAGAAUAAGCCCCGGCAAACUUCGUGCCAGCAGCCGCCGUAA
Molecule: ribosomal RNA, 448 nt
Filed under: uncultured bacterium
Lineage: Bacteria
Description: partial 16S ribosomal RNA
Rfam family: Bacterial small subunit ribosomal RNA
Source: RNAcentral